Molecule: ribosomal RNA, 979 nt
Filed under: Bacillus sp. DQ1(2010)
Lineage: Bacteria; Bacillati; Bacillota; Bacilli; Caryophanales; Bacillaceae
Description: bacterial SSU rRNA
Rfam family: Bacterial small subunit ribosomal RNA
Source: RNAcentral
GGGGCAGACGCUGGCGGCGUGCCUAAUACAUGCAAGUCGAGCGGACAGAUGGGAGCUUGCUCCCUGAUGUUAGCGGCGGACGGGUGAGUAACACGUGGGUAACCUGCCUGUAAGACUGGGAUAACUCCGGGAAACCGGGGCUAAUACCGGAUGCUUGUUUGAACCGCAUGGUUCAAACAUAAAAGGUGGCUUCGGCUACCACUUACAGAUGGACCCGCGGCGCAUUAGCUAGUUGGUGAGGUAACGGCUCACCAAGGCAACGAUGCGUAGCCGACCUGAGAGGGUGAUCGGCCACACUGGGACUGAGACACGGCCCAGACUCCUACGGGAGGCAGCAGUAGGGAAUCUUCCGCAAUGGACGAAAGUCUGACGGAGCAACGCCGCGUGAGUGAUGAAGGUUUUCGGAUCGUAAAGCUCUGUUGUUAGGGAAGAACAAGUACCGUUCGAAUAGGGCGGUACCUUGACGGUACCUAACCAGAAAGCCACGGCUAACUACGUGCCAGCAGCCGCGGUAAUACGUAGGUGGCAAGCGUUGUCCGGAAUUAUUGGGCGUAAAGGGCUCGCAGGCGGUUUCUUAAGUCUGAUGUGAAAGCCCCCGGCUCAACCGGGGAGGGUCAUUGGAAACUGGGGAACUUGAGUGCAGAAGAGGAGAGUGGAAUUCCACGUGUAGCGGUGAAAUGCGUAGAGAUGUGGAGGAACACCAGUGGCGAAGGCGACUCUCUGGUCUGUAACUGACGCUGAGGAGCGAAAGCGUGGGGAGCGAACAGGAUUAGAUACCCUGGUAGUCCACGCCGUAAACGAUGAGUGCUAAGUGUUAGGGGGUUUCCGCCCCUUAGUGCUGCAGCUAACGCAUUAAGCACUCCGCCUGGGGAGUACGGUCGCAAGACUGAAACUCAAAGGAAUUGACGGGGGCCCGCACAAGCGGUGGAGCAUGGGGUUUAAUUCGAAGCAACGCGAAGAACCUUACCAGGUCUUGACA